AGAGUUUGAUCCUGGCUCAGGAUGAACGCUAGCGGCAGGCCUAAUACAUGCAAGUCGAACGAUACUUAGGAGCUUGCUCUUAAGAAAAGUGGCGCACGGGUGCGUAACGCGUAUGCAACCUACCUUAAUCAGGGGGAUAGCCCGAAGAAAUUCGGAUUAACACCGCAUAAAAUCACAGCACAGCAUUGUGUAAUGAUCAAAUAUUUAUAGGAUUAAGAUGGGCAUGCGUGUCAUUAGCUAGUUGGCGGGGUAACGGCCCACCAAGGCGACGAUGACUAGGGGAUCUGAGAGGAUGGCCCCCCACACUGGUACUGAGACACGGACCAGACUCCUACGGGAGGCAGCAGUAAGGAAUAUUGGUCAAUGGAGGCAACUCUGAACCAGCCAUGCCGCGUGCAGGAAGACAGCCCUCUGGGUCGUAAACUGCUUUUAUUCGGGAAUAAACCUAGAUACGUGUAUUUAGCUGAAUGUACCGAAGGAAUAAGGAUCGGCUAACUCCGUGCCAGCAGCCGCGGUAAU
This 519-nucleotide ribosomal RNA is filed under the name uncultured bacterium. RNAcentral describes it as "bacterial SSU rRNA". It matches the Rfam family "Bacterial small subunit ribosomal RNA", at positions 8 to 524 of the family's 1533-position model. The record is from RNAcentral.